This 675-nucleotide long non-coding RNA is filed under the name Elaeis guineensis (African oil palm). Its description in RNAcentral is "long non-coding RNA (EGUI_LNC046107)". The record is from RNAcentral. Lineage: Eukaryota; Viridiplantae; Streptophyta; Magnoliopsida; Arecales; Arecaceae.
GGGGGAGGAGAAGGGCCUAAUGGGUUUGGGGUGUUGGGUUCACACCCGAAACCCAAAACCCAGUUCCAUUUGCUUUAAAGGGGGUGGAUUCGGAUUUUUGGAUUUUAGAAAUUUGGAUCCAUUAAUUCAUUAGCCAAUUAAUAACUGACUUGACCAGACCACAUUGAGUUGGUUUGAUUUGGUUUGGGGUUGUUUUGCAGUUUACCACUAGAUGAAGAAUUUAUUAUAAAUGGAAUUUUUUCAAUAGUUUUGCAAGCAGAGAGGGAGGUGGUGGAUCCACGAGGAAGAAAGGAGAAAGAAAAAAAAUUAUUUUUUUAAAAUAAAAUACAAUAAAAAUAAUAUUUUGUGAUACCUUAACUAUAUUUUACAAUUAUGAAAAAAGCACAAUAGCAAAACUCAAAAUUUAUAAAUGUAUAUAUAAAUAAAAAUUUUAUAUAAUAAGUUUUUGAUCGGUGGCGAUGGUGGUUUUGGGUGGUGAAAUGAAAAGAAGGAAGGGAGGAGGAGAAGCGUCAAAUAGGUUUGGGGUUUUGUGUUCACCCGUGAAACCCAAAAUCCAGCUGAUCCAUUUGCUUUAAAAGAGGGGAUUUGAAUUUUUGGAUUUUAGAAAUCUGGAUCCAUUAAUCCAUCAGCCCAUUAAUAAUUGAUUUGACCAAACCACAAUGAGUUGAUUUGAUU